This is a non-coding RNA of Rattus norvegicus (Norway rat), 3372 nucleotides long. The record is from RefSeq and is a predicted model, not a curated record. NCBI's taxonomy places the organism in Eukaryota, Metazoa, Chordata, Mammalia, Rodentia, Muridae.
GCAGAAAAGGAGGGCCCUGCUCCUCCCUUGGGGCCAAGAAGUAGGCUGGGGAGGGGAAGCGACAAAAGAACACUGGAAAGAAAUGUGAGUGGCCCGCAAGCCAAGAUCUUUGCACAAACUCCUCCUGUCCUCGCUGGGGAGUUGUGGGCCCAGAGCAAAGGUAGAAGAGAGAGCUCCAAAUCUGCACGUUUUAUUUCAUUGGUACAUGUAUUUAAUCCAUCUGCAAACUGUUCAUUGGAUAGCAUCGUCGGCUUCUCUCUCUGGGAACACUAAGAUUGCUUUUUUUAAAGCACUGGAACAAAGUCAGUUGACUGGGAUUCCUCAACAAAUACGGUGACCCAGUCUGAACCAUUUGGAACUGGGAUGCCAGUGAGAGGAGAGCCUGCGUUGGGGAGCUUCAGGAGCAGAGCCACAGAAAGGAGAGUCUGUUGCUACUGUGACAGUAUCCCUGCUUUCUGAGGCCUUCCACUCUGUGUGUGUGUGUGUGUGUGUGUGUGUGUGUGUGUGUGUGUGUGUGUGUGUGCAGUGAUUCUGGUUUUCGCAGGUGUCUAAAGUCAUCACGGUAUGCACUGUGCAAGCAAACAAUUUCCCCUGUGAUGUCUGUAAUCUCCUGGAAAUGUUCUCUGAUUCCUUCCAAUGUCCCCCACAGCAGCCCCAAAGGCUGUCAACUCCAGUCAUCUCAGGCAUGUUAGUACUUUCUCGAGUCAUAUUGCAGUGUGUAGUAUUCUUCCCUCCAACAGCAGGUCUCCGAGGAAGACACUAAUGGCCCAGUGCUACACCAACCUGAUCAUUAGAGUCCCCGUUUCUCUAAGCGACAUCAGGCAGAUAACUUGCUCGGAAGAAUAUUUAUUUAUCUGUUCAAUGCUGCAAAUGGAGACAGAGCGAGCACACGGAUAGAAUUGCUGGGUGUGAAGUCUCCAUUGUUUAGUGUGAUGGAGAGCAAUGCAUCCUUUGUUCAUUUAAGUAAUAAGUAUUAAGCGUGGUUUUCAAACACUACAUGAUAUCUGCCUAGAUGCUCUUCGGCCCAGGCACUGACUGAGUCCACACAGCAUGUUCAAUGGUUUAAAUGCAAGCUCACUCUGUCUUAGCAGGAUGGGUCUUUUGGGAUGUUAGGUGGCAUUUUACUGGUGAAGCUCAAGUUCCUCAUUGAGAGUAUGGGCAGCAUCUGUGGGCCAGCUGUAUGUCUUUGAGUUUGACUAUUAAAGUGAUUUUAAGAUUUCUUCUUGGAAGGCAGGGAGGAAGGUAAUACCUUCUGGGUUCUGUACACUAAUACUUAUGGUCAAGUCCUGAGUUUCAAUUCACAGAGGUACUUCUCAGAGUCUUCUAAGACUUCCAAAGCAGCUGAUUUCAAAUUAUGCCUUAACUAAUGUAUGCAUCUAUGUCCUAAAGGAAAAGUAACUGAAAUCAUAUCACACAUAUACCGCAGAAGCGCACACUACACACAUCAUACAUAAAACAUGCACCACAAAAAUUCACACUACAGCACAAACAUCCACCACAACAAAUCUACCACAUACAUGAUAUCACAUACACCACAUGAAAUACAUUCACCACACAUUAUGCCCAGCACAUAAAACAUACACCAUACACCACACUCACCAUCAUUUAUCCCAAAUGUCACCUCUACAUACCACAGAAACAUACACCACUCCACACAAACAUACAUAUCACACCACACGCAUAAACCACACAUACAUACCACUCCAUACACACACACUACCCAUCACAUCCCCACACUUUAUACAUGCCAUAUUUGCUUGGGGGAAGAUAACAGGUUUAUUUUGAGAGUCUUCUAGAUUGUUCUGUGCCUUAGUUGCUUGCCAAUGUUGUUCCACAGAAUGCAUUUUGGAAACAGACUGGGACUCCAUGAGGAAUUCCUAAUUUUCUUGGCUCCAACCCCCAAUGCUGGGAUUACAGGUGUGUGAGAGACGGUCACAUUCAGAAGAGGCCCACAUAGAAUAGCACUUGAUAAUACAUGACUUGCAUUAAAGAUCACCUAGUCUCUGUCCACAGUUUUAGGCAAGUAAUUAUUGAACUAAUCAUGUCUAGGAUCCAGGGUAAGGACCUUGCACUAGGUAAGGUUGGUACGAAACAAUCGACUGGGCAAUCAUACAAUUAUAACACAUUAACAAAAGUAAGACAUACUGUUCUCCCAUCCCCAUCUUUGUGACUUUCUUUUGUUGUUGUUGUUGUUAUCAUUAUUUAUUCUUUAAAUACAAAGUCUCACUAUAGCCCAGGGUGUCCUUGAACUUACAAAGUAACUGAGGCUGGUCUUGAAUUCCUAAUUUCCUUGGCUCCAUCUCCCAAUGCUGGGAUUGCAGGUGUGUGCAAGCAGGCUUGACUUCUGUCACAGUCUUAACAUGAUGCGAGCAAUAGUGAAAGGUUCAAUGCCAUAAUUCAGGAAUUAAGGCUACUUCUGGUUUGGUGACUGCCAUCCUUACUGUGUGAUCUUCAAGGUUCAAGGAAAAGAAUGCACUGACUCCUCACUUCCUUGUCCCCAACGUCCCCCCACAACACAAAGGGACUUGGAAGUGUAACCUAGAGCAAAUGUCUGCCACCAAUUCUAUUGCUUAUACCAUCUGGAUAUUUCGAGCAGGAAUAUCCAGCUCCAGCCGGAGACUGUUUCCACUCUUCCUUCAAUCAGGUGGAAGACUUACGGAGGCUUUUUACGUAAGUAUUACCCAGUGCCACGACCCUGAGCUACUGAUAACUGUGUGCAUCGCAUGCCCAUGUUUUACAGGUGCCGGGAUUAAAAUGUGUACCACUAAGACUGGCUGGCUUGGUGACUUUUGACGGUAGUGUUUCUGUGACCAGGAAAAAGGCAACAUCGAAAAUAGAUUAUAAUAUUUUAGAGUACCAGUGAUAAAUUGACAAAUAAAAACUUCAUAAUAGUAUAGAAUAAACGAAUAAAUACUAGUGUUUACACAUAUUAGUAUUUACUGACGUUAAUUAUACCCAUUUGUUUACUUCCAGUGUUUGUGAUGUUAUCAUAUUAUUAGGCUGCUAAUAGUGUAAUUCACUGAAGCCCUACAAUAGCAUACCAGAGCGAUUUCCUUUCAUGACCCGUUAUUUAUAUACUCAAGCUUUCUUUCCACAUGCCUGUUCCUUUGCAAAAUAAUUUUGUGAUCUUGGCCUACACUGUCUAACAUGCUAAUAAUUUUCAGCCAUUCUGAAAUAUCUGUUUUCUUCGUGACGUCCUAUUUUUAGGUGAGAAACAACAGAACAACGAAGCCUCUUCAGAAAUUUCAUGAGGUAAAAUGUGAGCCACCUGGAUGGAGAAGAAGCUUCGCUGUCUAAGGACACCAAGAUCAUAGGUUUGUGGGCAUUUGCUCCAUUGUGCCCAAAAUAAAUUCAGUGUCUUCCUGGUCUCUA